Molecule: ribosomal RNA, 403 nt
Filed under: Fusobacteriota bacterium
Lineage: Bacteria; Fusobacteriati; Fusobacteriota
Description: Fusobacteria bacterium partial 16S ribosomal RNA
Rfam family: Bacterial small subunit ribosomal RNA
Source: RNAcentral
UGGGGAAUCUUGCACAAUGGGGGAAACCCUGAUGCAGCGACGCCGCGUGAGCGAUGAAGGUUUUCGAAUCGUAAAGCUCUUUCCUAUGGGAAGAUAAUGACGGUACCAUGGGAGGAAGCCCCGGCUAACUACGUGCCAGCAGCCGCGGUAAUACGUAGGGGGCGAGCGUUGUCCGGAAUUACUGGGCGUAAAGGGUUCGCAGGCGGAAAUGCAAGUCAGGUGUAAAAGGCAGUAGCUUAACUACUGUAAGCAUUUGAAACUGCAUAUCUUGAGAAGAGUAGAGGUAAGUGGAAUUUUUAGUGUAGCGGUGAAAUGCGUAGAUAUUAAAAAGAAUACCGGUGGGGAAGGCGACUUACUGGGCUCAUUCUGACGCUGAGGAACGAAAGCGUGGGUAGCAAACAGG